GAUGAACGCUGGCGGCGUGCCUAACACAUGCAAGUCGAGCGAUCUUCUUCGGAAGAGAGCGGCGGACGGGUGAGUAACGCGUGGGUAUCCUGCCCUGUACACACGGAUAACAUACCGAAAGGUAUGCUAAUACGGGAUAAUAUAUGAGAGCCACAUGACUUUUAUAUCAAAGUUUUUGCGGUACAGGAUGGACCCGCGUCUGAUUAGCUAGUUGGUAAGGUAACGGCUUACCAAGGCGACGAUCAGUAGCCGACCUGAGAGGGUGAUCGGCCACACUGGAACUGGGACACGGUCCAGACUCCCACGGGAGGCAGCAGUGGGGAAUAUUGCACAGUGGGCGAAAGCCUGAUGCAGCAACGCCGCGUGAGCGAUGAAGGCCUUCGGGUCGUAAAGCUCUGUCCUCAAGGAAGAUAAUGACGGUACUUGAGGAGGAAGCCCCGGCUAACUACGUGCCAGCAGCCGCGGUAA
RNAcentral lists this ribosomal RNA (468 nucleotides) under uncultured bacterium. Its description in RNAcentral is "partial 16S ribosomal RNA". It matches the Rfam family "Bacterial small subunit ribosomal RNA", at positions 28 to 523 of the family's 1533-position model. The record is from RNAcentral.